Molecule: non-coding RNA, 29028 nt
Organism: Pelobates cultripes (western spadefoot toad)
Lineage: Eukaryota; Metazoa; Chordata; Amphibia; Anura; Pelobatidae
Source: the annotation of a GenBank genome assembly
GCAGGAAGGAAUCCCUGCUUCCCCAACUACAGCACAGCAGGGACUGAAUCCACUCCUCCUCCAGCCCAUGGAUCCUGUAAGUGAGUGAGUGUGUGCUGUGUGUGUGUGUAACUGUGAUUGUGACUGUCUUUGACUGUGUGUGUGAUUGUCUGCUUGUGUGUGUGUGUGACUGCCUGUGAUUGUCUGUGUGAUUGUCUGCCUGUGAUUGUCUGUGUGAUAAUCUGCCUGUGAUUGUCUGUGUGACUCUGUGUGUGUGACUCUCUGACUGAUUGUGUGUGUGUGUGUGUGUGUGACUGUCUUUGAUUGUGUUAUGUGUACGUAUGACUGUCUGCCUGUGAUUGUGUGUGUCACUGUCUGUGUGUGUGACUGUCUGCCUGUGAUUGUCUGUGUUACUCUGUGUGUGUGACUGUCUGCCUGUGAUUGUGGGUGUGUGUGUGUGUGACUGUCUGUGACUGUGUGUGUGUGUGUGACUGUCUGCCUGUGAUUGUGUGUGUGACUGUCUGUGACUGUGUUGUGUGUAUGUGUGACUGUCUGUGAUUGUGUGUGUGACUGUCUGCCUGUGUGAUUGCCUGCGUAUUUGACUGUCUGCCUGUAACUGUGUGUGAGUGACUGUGUGUGGGACUGUGUGCAUCUGACUGUGUCUGACGGUCUUCGCCCUGCAGUGAGCCGGCAGCCAGGAUACGAUGUCAUCGCGGCCUCGGCGUCAUUUCAGGGCAUGCGAUGGACCUGUGCAGAAAGAGCACAGAGAUCCCAGCAGCAACCACUGGCCACCAGGGACUGAGGAUCCACUCCAGCCCUUCUAGAGCAAGGUAGGGAGGCUGGGUGGGCCUCUUAAUUAUUAAAUGUGUGUAUGUAUGUAAUGUUUGUGUGUGUAUGUGAUUGUGUGUCUGUGAUUGUAUGUGUGUGGGUCAGUGAUUGUGCUUGUGUAUAUCUGUGAUUAUGUGUGUGAUUGUGUGUAUCUCUGCGUAUGUGUUUAGUAGAUAGCUCCCUUAUUUCCUGUCCUCAAAUAUUGCAAUCCCACAUAUAGAUAACAAAUAAGGGAUUUAUCUACUGAAAAUAAGAAAAGGGCUUUUUUUAUCCUUUAGCUGUUUAGUAGAUCAUUCCCUGAAUUGGUGCCCGUAUGUGAGAUUUCCAUAUUUAAAGAUACCAAAUGAGGGUGCUGUCUAGCAGAUAGCACCUUAUUUGGUGUCCUUUAAAAUGGCAAUCCCACAAAGGAUAGCAAAUAGAGGAGUUAUCUGCUAAACAAAGAUUGAAAUUAAGAGGUGUCAGCCAGCCCACAACAAGAAAUCUGGGUGGCUAAUGUGAAUUAUAUGCAAAUGUGUAGUCAGAUGCCAGCAUGCAGAACACAGCAUGCUGGCAUCAGACAGCCAAUGGUAGCAUAUUACCCCAUCCCCUAGUGCAGGGCCGGACUUGGAAUUAAAAGCAGCCCUGGAAAAAAAAAUAUUUACCAGCCCCAUAAUGCGUCGCGCCAGCAUAGUGUGCAGAUACAGAGUCAGAACAGAUAAAUUAAAAUUAAAAAGUACUUCAACGUAAAAAGCCCACUCAUAGGCUUGCAAUGGCUAAUAUAUUGUAUAAACGAUUGUGGGGUUUGAAUGCAUACGCUGACAAUCGUGUAUACAUGAUUGGAGACGUGAAGGCGUUAAAGUACAUGCAUUGUAACUAAGUUAAUCAAGCUAUCUGUAAAUUAUCAGUCCAAUUUAAAGGGGCACUUUAAGCAGCUGGAUUUUUGCAUGCCCAAUAUCUGUAUAACUUUUAAGGGGUUUCAAAACAAGAAUAUUUUUAUUGUUUGUUUUAACCUUGUUAACGUGAUCUAGUGCUUCCAUUCCAAAAUACUUCUCAAACUCCAAGGGGUGAAUUCACAUCUGACAUAACCAGAGGCAUUUUUUUUUUAUGAAAACUGUCAUUGACUCCGUAGGUAAAUCCUGGACAGACUGAUUUGUUUGGGGCAAAAGGAAUUUGAUUUGUUCAUAUCAGCUGAAAUUUGAGUAUAGUGGCCAUGAAAGUGGACAUCCUUGCCCCAUAACCUGCUUUUAAAAAACAUUGAAUAAAUUAUUAGUAACAUUCAACUUGAAUUCAUUUCAAACGUGUUGAGCAAUUCAACACAUCUAACUAAAUCAAACUUUAAACCAUCUGUGGUAAAGCCAGGAGUGCGGGUUGAAGUAAGGAAACAAGGGUGCAAACUCAGUGCUUGAGUCCUGCAGGAACGCAUGGGAAUGGCAUUCCUGCACUUUUUCCAAAGCAGGAACACCGUUCUCGCUAGUAGUGCAGGACCUGCCCUGCUACCUGUACACGGGGGCCCAGCACACUCUGUGUUCCCUCUCUGUUUCUCACAUUCGCAAGUCCCACGGCCACCAGAGCGUUGCCAUGGUAACCACAGCACGCAGGCGAGUCCUGCAAGAGUUAGACAGAGCUGGAGAGGGAACAGAAAGUGUUCUGGGUCCCCGUGUGCAGUGGCUGGCUCCCUCCACCGGACCACCAGGGAAUGAGAUCUCCCCCCUCCCUGACAAGGUAAGAAGCAGGGAGGGGGGAAUAAAAUAAAAAAUAUACACACAUAAAUUGGAAAAAAAAUUGCUUCCCCACCUAACACACACACACACACACAUCAUCCCUCAUCACACCCAUCAUCCAGCACACACACACACCCUCCCCCCCUUUCCCUGUGUCUCUCCCUCCCCCCUUUCCCUGUGUCUCUCCCCUCUCCCUAUUCCCCUUACCAUCUCUCCCUCCCUUUCCUGGUGUCUCUCCCUCCCUCCCCUUUCCCUGUGCUCCUCCCUCUCCCUGUGGCUCUCCUCUCCCCCUUUCCUGUGUCUCUCCCUCUCCCUCCCUCCCCCCUUUCCCCUGUGUAUCUCCCCCUUUCCCCUGUGUCUCUCCCUCUCCCUCCCCUCUCCCUCCCCCCCCUUUCCCUGUGUCUCUUCCCUCUCCCUCCCUCCCCCCUUUCCCUGUGUCUCUCCCCUCUCCCCCCGCCCUUUCCGUGUGUCUCUCCCCUCUCCCUCUCCCCCUGCCCCCAAUUUACCUUAAAGAAGGCAAGGGGGCCGGCCGCGUUCCAAACUGGAGCCGCCGGGCCGGGUGGCAGCUUCGCCGGUCCGGCGGCACUCCAGUCACUGGCUGCUGAUGGAGGAGGAGCCUGUCUACCAUGCUCCCUCGCGGUUCCUGUGCCGGGAAUUGUGGGAACCGCAAGGACCGGCCACCCGGUGGCACAUAUGUGGCCUUGCAGCCCCCCAGUUGCCGCGGCCCACCGGGAAAUUUCCCGUUAUCCCGGUGGGCCAGUCCGGCCCUGCCCUAGUGAGAAGUUUUACUGCUCCACCUCCCCCUCCUGUUUUGACUGUGGUAUCUUAUGUUCCCCCCCAUAUAUAUUGUUCCUAGAGUCGCCACGAUGUCUGCAUGUGUGUCAAUGUGUAUCUGUGUGUGUUUGUGUGUGUAUGUCCGUGUAUGUGUAUAUGUGCAGACAUCUAAAAAUCUCGCCAACACUACACACAAAUACACUCUUGCAUUUCAACGUCAACACUACAUACAAACCCCACCAUUAUAUAUAACCAUACCACUGCAUUCAAAUACCACACAACACACAAAUGCAUGCUUGCAUUCAAACGCCAACACUACAAACACACCGCUACAUUCACUCACAUAUACUCCAUACAAAAACAUGCAUACAUUCAAAAACACAAACACUGCUUAGUGCUAAAUACAUUAAAACAUUUUUUAGUUGUUUUUAUAUUUAAAGUUGAGGGGGGGAGAAAGGGGGGUGCCAAAAAUAGGACCCACCCCGGGUGACAAAUUUUCUAGGUACGCCCCUGCUACUACUUUAGGUUUGGAUCCCAGGUAAGCAAGUUAUGGAGGAAUGUAACUACAAUUCCCUGCAAUUUCCACAGAAGCAGUCUUACUCAUCCCACUGACUUCCACCAAAAUACACACAAAAUGUAUUCAUAUAGUCUCAGUGGCAACUCAGAAGUCUGUUCUGUACAAUCACAUACUAUGGAAAACACCUUCUCUGAUUUUACUAAAAGCUAAAUUAAUACAUGCCAGAAUGGGCUGUUUAGAAUCCAUGUUAAAAAAUAUAUAUAUAUAUAAUCCAGGCAUGGAAAGCCCUAUAUUAUAUACUGGAGAUGAGGAACACCAUUAAAGCAUGCUGAUACCUUAUAAGAGUCUUUGUCACAAACCACCUACAAUAAAACAAAUAUUGUUUUUUUUUCUGGGGGGGGGGGGUUGAAAACAAUUGAAGUUACUGUACUUUCACAGUAACAAACACUACAUAGAAUUGCAUUGUUUAUUAUUGCAUACUCAUUUAAUACAGACUCAAUAAAAUGUUUACAACUGAAAACAAAUAUAUUCCUAAUGUUGUUAAAAUGUUCCUUUAAAUACUUAUAUAUCCAGUUCACCUAUAGAAUACUGAAACGUGUUGUGUUAAAUAAUAAACACACAAAAAUAGAACUACAUAUUUUUCCUACAAAAUGCUAUUAGUUUAUGCAGCAAGUAUUCCAUUUAUGCCCACUGUAAUUGCCUAGCAUGUGUUCUAGCCCUUCCAGCAGGCAUGGGUUAACUAUUCAGGAAAUUGCAGCUUGAAAACUACAACAAACUUGCUGGCACUCUGCAGAUCGGCAAUGAUAAAUAAGUGUAUGUUCUAUAGCUCCAAGCACAAAGCAAGCUGUUAGGCUGUUGAUUACAUCUCACUCUUCUCGAAACAAAAACAAAAAAUAGCUUGCCAAGCCUUGCUAGUUCCUAUUUCGCCUUCCUGUGUAGGGUGUGUCAUAAUAAUGGACAGUGCACACACACAUGAUGAUAGAGGACCUAAAUCACAGACAUAGUGUGUGUGUGUUUUAAAGCCCCACUUUGCAGAAGCCUGAUUUUCCACAUAGAUUUGUUUUCCUUCUCUCCAAUUCAAAUGCUUCCUCUGCCCCCUCUACUGAUCGAAUUUCAGAUCAGCCAGGAUUUGCAACUAACCUCCAGGGCAGGCACAACUGAACCUUACUGAUUCACAAGAUCAAAAGGCUCUGAUGCAUUCAUUAAAGCGCUCUUUUUUUCUGUUGUUUUUUUUUUUUUCUUUCCUUUCCUUGCAGAAUCUCAGAAAUCAAAGGACAUAUCCUCCCACAGCACUAUCCUCCAUUAUCUUUCUGUUAUUCUCAAUUAUAUUCAUCAUGCUGCUUUUAUUUUCAAUACGUUGUUUAAUUUCCAUGUUUAUUCGACGUGUUUCAGAGUGAUAGCCAAUUAAUAUAUUCUAUUGCUUCAUUUUACCAACAUCAGGCAAAGGACAAUAGCAAGGGGAUUUUUUUUUAUUUUUUUUUUAAUCUUGCCAAUGACGUCACUGUUCUUGUUAACCCUUUCUCUGCUGCAUAUUACAGCUAAAUCAUAGAGAGAGAGGAGGAGGGGAAAGAAAAGUUUCUUCAUACAUUUAAUGUUAGCGUUUAGGGUACUGGAGAGUUCAUAUAAACCUUAAACAAGAUGUUAGUGUAUACUGAUUAGCAUGAUUCUCAUUCUUCCUCAUUCUAUUCAUGUAGCCCUUUUUAUCAGUGUAGGAAGAGAAAACAAGACGGAGGUGGGGGGGUGGAUGGAACGCCAUAGGCAGAGCAGAGAGGAUAUGCUAAAAGCACAAGAAUGCAGAGCAUAACAGAGAAGGUCACAUUCACAUGAAUAUAGUUCCCUGUUUUCACGUUUAUAAUACACCCUGUUAAUAUGUAUUAGCUCUGCAACUUAUCUCUUAGAAUGUUUAUAGUAAAUUAGUUUCCAUUUUUAUUUGUUGCAACACUGUCUCUGUUUGCAGUUGGUGUUAAAGCUUUAUAUGCUGUACACUGCUGGUGGAAGGAUACACUGUUAAACAUAUCAGUCCUCGCCGCUAGUGUAAGCUAAAGGAACAGAAUGCAAAACCUGGAAUGGAUCUCUUGACAUGGGAUAUACGUAAAAGACAACAGCCUCUUCCUAGUUCUUCCUACCAAUUUGUAUGCACAUAAACCUGAUCCAUGUGCCACAUUCCCCAAAUUUAAUAUGCUACCCAAGAUGUUUGGGCUUUUGCUUUAGCAUACUGAUAAGAGUGCAGUAGAAGUUCUGUUCACAGACAUAAGUAGAUGUGCACUUGUUUUAACAUUAAAAUGUAUAGUGUUAAAAUAUAUAGGUCACCCAAACAUGAUUUCAAGGUGUAUGUCAGAGAUUGUAAGCAGGUUUAAAUAGCACAUUCUUCAUCUCUCCACAUUAUUUUUAAUUCUAAUUACCGUAAUACAUCCCAACUACCAUAUUUUUCGCUCCAUAAGACGCACCUCACCAUAAGACGCACCUAGUUUUUAGAGGAGGAAACCCAGAAAAAUUCUGAACUGUUCCAUAGUGUUUCUUACUAUGGGACAGUUUGUUCAGAAUAUUUUUUUUUCUCCUCCUGUCCCAUAAUGAUCUUUAACCCCCUCCCCUGUCCCAUAGUUAUUUUAACCCCCCUUUCCUCUGUCCCAUAGUGAUUGUUAACCCCUCCUCCCCUGUCCCAUAGUGUUCUUUAACCCCUCCUCCCCUUGUCCAAUAGUGUUCUCAUCCCAUAGUGUUCCCACCCUUGUCCCAUAGUGCACUUUCCCUCCCAUAGUGUCUCCCCUCCCCUUGUCAUAUAGUGUCCCCCAUCCCCUUGUUCCAUAGUGUCCCCCCCUCUCCCAGUCCCAUUGUGUCCCCCCUCCCCUUGUCCCAUAGUGUCCCCCCUCCCCUUGUCCCAUAGUGUGCCCCUCUCUCCUUGUCCCAUAGUGUGCCCCCCUCUCCUUGUCCCAUAGUGUCCCAUAAUUACUUACCUGUAUUGUAGCGUGGGCCGGCUUCACAGCGCGCACCGCGGUACAGGAACUUCAAUUUCAGGUACCGGAACCUGAAAUUGAAGUUCCUGUACCGCGGAGCGCGCUGUGCUGCCGGCCCACGCUACAAUACAGGUAAGUAAAGCUUCACAUUUGCGCCAUAAGACGCACAGAUAUUUCCCCUCACUUUUGAGGGGGAAAAAAGUGCGUCUUAUGGAGCGAAAAAUACGGUACAUUGUAGCAUUGCAGAAAAUAAUGGUGUAAGAAAAAAAAUAAUAAUAACAUACAAUUGCACUUGGACAGGGACAUCCUGUAGAAGUCUGGGUCCUGUGAAUGACAGAGAGAUAUAUUACCUAAAUAUAUUUAUGGGCAGCAUAUUAAAAGUGCUGUCAUGCAGUUUGUAGUAUUUAGCUGCUGCAGGUAGGAAAGAAAUGUAUUAUUUAAAGAUAAAUCCUGUAGCAUAUGGAUGCUACAAAUUUGCAAUGUGCUACCCAGUAUGUGUCUAGGAGAACGUGGUGGAUCUGACACCCCUUCUCUGCCUACAGGUAAACUAGGCCCUGGGACCCAUGAAUAAACUAAUGAGAACUUAUCUAGCAUACACACAGUAUAAUCUCCUCCCUAUUCUUGGCAGGAGCGUUGCUAGGGUCAAAAGAACCCAGGACUUGAGUCCAAAAAUAUUUUGGUGAUUCUUCCUAAAGCUGUGCCUACUCCCCAAAUCGCAAACUUCCACUCCCUAAUUCCACCACUGGACAUGCCUCUUGGCACACAUUCACAGUUACUUAGAGAAACACACAGAUACACAAAAGCACACUGACACAAAUGGGUGGGCAGACAUACACAGAUGUGCCUGAGCACACACAGACACUGACACAAAUAAACAGACACACAGGCACAAACAGUAACUGAUAGGUACAAACAAAAGCACAGGCAUACAUAGGAGUAGACAGACACAGAUAGGUGCACACAAAUAAAAACACACAGACCCACAUAGACAUAAUGAAAAAGAUUGCUCUGUUCUUUAGAGGUUGAUUGAAGAAAAGGCAGUCAACCAGUUAUUGUUUAAGCAGGGCUGGCGACCAGUAUUAAUUUUGGUGGCAAAAUUAAAUUUUAGUCAUAGUCUUUUGACUAAAAAUACAUUUUUGUUUUAGUCGUAUUUUAGUCAUUUGAUUUGUUUUAGUUAUUGUUGACUAAAUCCAGGAUACCUAUACCUAUCAUGCUACACCGCAUGGAUCUGACCACUUCUAUAGUUAUCAGCUGGGGAGAGGACUUCUUUUUUUGCUAUUUUGGUUGUCCUUGUUGUAGAGAGGUGUACGAAAAGUAUGCAGGCUUCAUAUGUUGCACUGUAAAAAAAAAUCAAUGAAGAACUACCAUGUAGUAUGCAGAUUUUACAUGCUACAGGAGGGGGGAUGUCAAUCAAUCAAGGUGCCGAAUAUUGUCUACACCUGCUCUAUGAAAUUCCAUGUGUGUCUCUAGCACUGCACUGAUCCCAGCCGACUCCUAUACUCACUGAAGAGAUUGAAAAUGGUCAAGUAGAGACAAAAAGAUCCAGGGCUAUAAAGGACAAGCACCCCCUAUCAAUGCUCCUGUAUAUUGGCAUGCAAGAAUAGUGGCCCUGGUCCCACAAACCAGUAUCGUAAGACAAAUACACAAAGAAGAAGAUACACUGCAGUAGGUAAUGAAGACACUCCAAUUUUAUUGAUAUGCUAUACAAGCAAGUCACAUUUUAGUCCAAUUGAUUUAAGCCUUCAAUACAUAUCAUACAUAACACACAAUGUCAAAAUAUAUUACAUACACAGUGCAAUAAGAGAAUACAGCACAUAUGCAGUUUGGAAAUGCUUUAACAUAUAAAGUGCAAAUCAUCAAUAAAUCAAUACAUAUUGUAUAAACAUAUUCUAAUGGUGAUAUUCUAUGAUUCUUUAUCAGAUUUACCAUUAUGGAAAAAAAAAUUGUACUGUCUAAAUUAUACUCGCAAAAUUUUCUUUUAAAGGGAUAGUACCAAAAAAACUAUUCUUAAAAGGAUUUUGCCAUCCAGUGAUUAAUACUUAGUAGUGUGAGACCUCCUGAUCGUUGUGUACAAAACAGUAUAAAAGACAAAUAUAGCAUAAUACUGUAUAAAACCACAAUUGAUCAAUAGUAGACGUAAUGGGUCACUCACACUUUCCAGAGCCUUGGGAAGCAGGCUCUGGCUAUAUCAGCAAUUGAAUAAUAUAGCUUAUUAAGGCUAUUACCACGACUUCUCAAUAUACUUCUUCCCAAGUAGGUAUGAAUUAGAAGAUAUGCAAUGAGGUAAAGAUAAAGACAUUUUACUUCAAAUUAUAACAAAUAUAUAAAACAACAGCUACAAAGGCUGUGAAUAAACAAAGCAAACAGUCCAAUAACACUAACGCAUUUCAACCUUUCGUUCUUUUUCAAAGUGUAUGGUGAUCUUCUCCUAGUGCUGGCUUUUAAUCCGUGCUUCCGGGAAAUUAAUUUUUGCACCCUCCAGAGCUCAGUGGUCACUUCCGCAUUAUUACGUCAUUAUGGCUUGCGCUGUGAUGAUCACGGAUGUAGUAAUGUCAAAGCAUCACAGCGUCCUGGCAUACUACGUGAUGAUGAUAUCGUCUGUUACCACGUUCCAGGAUGCAGAAAUGCAUUCAAUGCAUAUUGAUUCAAGUUCUUUAUCGUCUUAUUUAUAUCUCUGAUGAACUUCCAUUGCAUGGACUAAUUACGCCCGAUACUAUAAUGCCGUCUUAUGGACUCCCUGCAUUUCUGCGUCCUGGAACGUGGUAACUUACAAUAUCGUCAUCAUGUAGUACACCUAGAUGCUGUGACGCUUUGACAUUACUAUGUUCACGAUCGUUACAGCGCAAUCUGUAAUGACGUAAUAAUGCGGAAUUGACCACUGAAAAUGAAUUCCCGGAAGCACGGAUUAAAAGCCAGCACUAAGUGAAGAUCACCAUACACUUUUAAAAAGGCCGAAAGGUUGAAACUUUGGACUGUUUACUUUGUUUAUUCACAGCCUUUGUAGCUGUUGUUUUAUAUAUUUGUUUUAAUUUGAAGUAAAACUUCUUUAUCUUUACCUCAUUAGAUAUCUUCUAAUUCAUACCUACUUCAGAAGAAGUAUAUUGAGGAGUCGUGGUGAUAGCCUGAAUAAGCUAUAUUAUUCAAUUGCUGAUAUAGCCAGAGCCUGCUUCCUAAGGCCCUGGAAAGUGUGAGUGACCCAUUACCUCUACUAUUGAUUAAUUGUGGUUUUAUACAGUAUUAUGCUAUAUUUGUCUUUUAUACCUUUUUUUACAGAAUGAUCAGGAGGUCUCACACUACUAAAUAUUAAUCAUUGUGUUUUGCACCCCCCUAACUUUGUUUGUUUUUAUCUAUUUUUGUGGUGUCUUUUGAGUGAUUUUUAGACACUGGAGGGUAGUUGCUAUUUUAUUUGUUACUUAGUGCCAAUCCACCUGUAUUUUAUCCAGUUCUUGGGUCAAAUAUUUAUUUUUUUAUACCUAAGACAUUGGUGUCUUAUUAAAAAAAUCCCAAAAUUUUAACAUGCUUAGUUGCUCAGCUCCAGCAGCAACUACAACAAUUGUUUAAGGGAAGUUAAAACUGCAGAUAUAAUCAUAAACACAAAAUAAACAUAUGAUUGGUUCUUACCACAUAAAUAGAUAUUUUUUUUUAGCUUAAAACUGGGGGGAAUGCUGCCCUACCUUUUCCUAUGGACCAACCUCCACUCAGUGCAACACACUACCCGGCUGAUGAUGCCCUAGUACAUAGUAAACAUACAAUGCAAUCUGAGAUUUAACAGUGGUGGCAAAUCAAUCAGCCUACUGGCCUAUACCUAUACUGUAACACUGUCAUGUGAGACACACCACAUCAUGAUCACAAUACAGUUGUGCUCAAAUGUUUGCCUACCCUGUCAGAACUUGGGAAAUUUUGGCAUUGAUUUAAAAAAUAUGACUGAUCAUGCAAAAAAAGUUAUUAAAACAUAGUGAUCAUAUGUAUCACAUAGUUGUUUGGCUUCUUUUUAAAUCACAAUGAUAACAGAGAUCUCCCAAAUAGCCCUGAUCAAAAGUUUACAUGCCCUUGACUGUUUGGCUUUGUUACAGACACACAAGGUGACACACAGGUUAAAUGGCAAUUAGAGGUUAAUUUCCCACACCUGUGGCUUUUUAAAUUGCAAUUGUCUGUGUAUAAAUAGUCAAUGGGUUUGUUAGUUCUCAAAUAGAUGCAUUGAGCAGGCUAGAUACUGAGCCAUGAGGAGCAGAAAAAAAGUCAAAAGACCUGCAUAACAAGAUAUUGGAAUUUUAUAAAGAUGGAAAGGGAUAUAAAAAGAUAUCCAAAGCCUUUAAAAUGCAAGUCAGUACUGUCCAAUCACUUAUUAGUAAGUGGAAAAUUUGUGGAUCUCUUGAUACCAAGCCAAGGUGUAACGGCUACCCGGGUAGAAGGAGGGUAUCUGCCGUUGGAGACGUCCUUUUUCCCUGUAAGCUGCUGUGGAGAAGUAAGCUGGUAUAAUCCUAUCCACGAUAUAUCAGAGUAAGAGUCAGGUUCAGCUGUAACAGGAGCAGGAUAAUAUUCCCAAAUAAUCCCCUUCCAAGAACGAGACAAGGCUACGUUUUGAAGGGUCAAGAAGAUCUGAGGACUGGAACACCCAGCCUCCUUUUAUUGGGAUCAGGUACACACAGGAUACUCCCAGGGGGAGGAUAAAAACACCCAAUCAUAUACCUGGUAACACCCCCACGUCUCCUCCCCUCAGAUAACAUAUAACAUAAUUAAAACGUACAACAUUUUACCCCAGUUCUGGAUGUUCCCCAAAAACAGGGGGUACAGCUUUAAAUCCGGGGUCGCUUGAUAGCUCUCAUUCAGGGGACCAACAUGUCCAAAAAUCAGCCCAUUCGGAUGAAUAGUUCGGGAGAUACAGAGUUCCAAAGUUUUGACCGACCGCACAGACCAACUAGCCGAAAAUAGUUCCAUGAGUUUUGGCCUUGCGGUCGGUCUCCGUUCGCCUGGUAAAAAGGUCUGAAAUUCUUGCCAUCCAUUCGAAUCUCGGGGUUCGCCGCAAUCCCCAUAGAUGAUUGAACAUAACUACCGAACGUCCGGUGAUUCGGUAGUUUCCGUGCGAACUUCUGGAAGUAUGGAGGACUCAGCGGUGUUCGCCUGUUUGCGUAUCCGAUUUUAGUUCCACGCGUCGACAGGCAAACACCGCUGUUCGCACGUAAGAUGGCCGCGGCCACGUGUAAAGUCCCGAAAUGGCGGCCACCUAUACUUUACACAGGGAAUUCAUGCGAAUCCAUUCGAAUGGUUGAAAUGCACUAAAUGUGACGAAUUCCUGCUGAUUUUGGUUAGUUCACUGGCCCAGGCAUACAGCAUAGUUCUGUUACACUGCUCCCCUUUUGUGGAACACUCCGGCAGACCCGGAUUGACCUUUUUCGGGUCAACUUGGGGCUGUCCGGUCUGCCUCUAAGGUAAAAGUUCUGUUUGCCUGGACAGUCCGUCUGCAUUCCCAUUGAACCGGCCUGGGCGAUACUGGAUGGAGAAAUUAUACGGUUGUAGGGCUAGGCUCCACCUCAGUAGUCGUCCAUUGUCCCCAGCCACUCGGUUCAGCCAUACUAGAGGGUUAUGGUCUGUGAUCAGGGUAAAUUCCUGACCAUAAAGGUAGGGGGUGAGCUUCUUUAGGGCCCAGACCAGGGCUAGACAUUCCUUUUCCACUGCCGCAUAACUCACUUCCCUGGGCAAUAGCUUUCUACUCAGGUAUGCGACAGGGUGUUCUCCCCCAUCUUCUCCGACCUGGCUUAGCACUGCCCCCAGUCCGUACAUGGACGCAUCUGUGUGGACGACAAAUCUUUUAUUAGGGACGGGGGCAGACAAAACAGGUGCGUUGAUCAGAGCUUGUUUCAGGGUUCGGAAUGCUGCUUCACAGGCGGGAGACCACAGGACUACCCUAGGUAAAUUUUUCUUCGUUAAAUCGGUCAGAGGUUUGGCGAUGGCGCUGUAGUCAGGGACAAAUUUUCUGUAGUACCCUGCCGUUCCCAAGAAGGCUAAUACCUGGGUCUUAGUGUGAGGGGUGGGCCAAUUCGCUACGGCCUCUACCUUGGCGGGUUCUGGUCGUUGUUUCCCACACCCCACUCUGUGUCCCAAGUACUGAACUUCAGCCAUACCAAAGUUACAUUUUUCUGGUUUCAGGGUUAGGCCGGCGGCCCUAAUCUGAUCCAGCACAGCCUCUACGUGUCGUAGGUGUUCUUCCCAUGUCUCACUAUAGAUCGCAAUGUCAUCCAGGUACGCGCAAGCGAAUUCCUGGAAGCCAUCAAGGAGGCGGUCCACUAAGCGCUGAAAGGUAGCUGGGGCAUUUUUCAUCCCGAAAGGCAUGACCUUGAACUGGUACAAGCCAAACGGGGUGACAAACGCCGACUUAGGGAUAGCGUCCUUGGCCAGGGGGAUCUGCCAGUACCCUUUGCACAAAUCGAUGGUGGUCAGAUAGCGUCCCCUAGCAAUACGAUCUAAUAGUUCGUCUACUCGGGGCAUGGGGUAUGCGUCUGUCACAGUUCUGUCGUUAAGGCGUCGGUAGUCGACACAAAAUCGGGUCGUUCCGUCCUUUUUGGGGACUAGGACGACUGGGGAUGCCCAGGGGCUGUCGGAGGGUUCUAUAACUCCUAGCUUUAACAUUUCCUGAAUCUCCUUUCUCAUCUCCUCUUUCACGGCUUCGGGAAUUCUAUAGGGAGUCUGUCGGAGAGGGUUUUGUCCUGGGGUCUCUACGUAAUGUGUCGCUAAGGGUGUGUAACCGGGUUCCUGGGAAAACGUCAAUCUUUUUGCAGCUAGCAUCUGCUGGAGUUGCUCUCUUUCGGUGGGCGUUAGUCGCUCCCCUAGCUGUACAGUGUUCAGCAAGGUUUUAGACUCGGGGUUAGCUAGUAGAUCCGGGAUGGGGAGACUGUCCGGGUCCUCAGUGGCCGGGAUACAUAUGGCUGCUAUGUCUUCGGGCCUUUCCUGGUACUCUUUCAGUAAGUUUAUAUGGAAGGACUUCUGUAUCCUCUCGUCCUUGCUACUGGCAAUUACAUAGGUGGUGUCACAGAUCUGUGCGACCACCUUGUAAGGGCCUUGCCAGGAGGUUUGUAAUUUGUUCCCUUUAACGGGUCUAAGUACUAGGACUUUCUGUCCCACCUGGAAGGUUCUCAAUCUCGCGCCCCGAUCGUACCAAUGUUUCUGUCGGCCUUGGGCCGCCUGGAGAUGCUCUCGGGCCAUCCUGGCUAGGUGCCCCAUGCGGUCCCGCAUCUCCAGUACAUAUGGUACGAUGGGGACCCCCUCAUGUUCUGUCUCUCCCUCCCAGUGCUCUCGGAUCAGGUCGAGGGGGCCUCGUACCCGCCGUCCGUAGAGCAAUUCGAAUGGGGAGAACCCUGUGGAUUCUUGCGGCACCUCUCGAUAUGCAAACAAGAGGUGUGGCAAGAAUCGCUCCCAGUCCCUGUAUUCCGCUGUAAAGGUACGCAGUAGUUGCUUUAGGGUACCAUUAAAGCGUUCACAGAGACCGUUAGUUUGAGGGUGGUACGGGGAACUAAGGAGGGAUUGGACACCGCAGGCCUUCCAUAACUGCUGAGUUAGGUCUGCGGUGAACUGGGUCCCUCGAUCCGACAGGAUUUCCCGGGGAAAUCCUACUCUGGUGAAGAUCCCAACUAGAGCACUGGCGACAGUGUCAGCUUGGAUAUUCGUCAGAGCGACGGCUUCUGGGUAGCGGGUAGCAUAGUCUACUACAGUAAGAAUAUAUUUCUUACCAGAGGGACUGGGGUUAGGUAGGGGUCCCACUAGGUCGACUGCCACCCUGCUAAAUGGUUCCUCGAUCACUGGCAUGGGUAACAGUCGGGCUUUGGGGUGAUCCCCUCUCUUUCCCACCCUCUGGCAUACAUCACAAGUGCUGCAGUAACGGCGCACAUCUUUCGAGAUCCCUGGCCAAAAGAAGGUCUGGGUGAUCCGGAAGGUUGUGCGGUUACCCCCUAGAUGCCCUGCCAACGGAAUGUCGUGGCCAAUUCGGAGAAGCUCCCACCGGUACUUUCUGGGUACCACUAAUUGGCGCUUCUGCGAGGGGGCACAGCCUCUCUUCCUGCCUUCGGUCAAUCUGUAUAGCCUGUCCCCCUCCCAUACAAAACGUUCUCGCUCGUCCCCCCUACUGUCAGCUAGUUCCCUGUACUUUUGGAGGGUGGGGUCCUGCCUAGUUUCCCUCCCAAAUUCUUCUGGGGUGUCCCAAGCUAUGGGUCUCUCUGUAAUGUUAGUGUGGGGUGUCUGCUUGUGGCUUACCUGGGUCUCCCGACCUGUUGUAGGAUCGUCCUCGAUACGGGUCUGUGAGCGGGUGGUCACGGGGCAAGCACCAGCAGUAGUGGGUAAAAAUGCUGAAGCUAGAGGGCCAAUAUCGUUGCCCAAUACGACCUCGGCGGGUAAAUUGUCCAUGAUGCCCACCGUGGUCUUUCCUGACCCGGCUCCCCAAUCUAAGUGUAUCCUGGCGGUGGGUAAGCGAAAAACAGCUCCCCCUGCGACACGAACAGCCACGGUACGAUUUGACACAUGUUCUGGUUUUACAAGGUGUUUCUGUAUUAGGGUAAUGGUAGCGCCAGUGUCUCUUAGGCCUUGUGCUAUCUGUCCGUUCACACGCACCUCCUGACGGUGAUGCUGACGAUUAUCUGGGGAAGCUGCUUGUAUGGGGUUGGCCUCAUAUAAUAUUCCCAGGCACUCUUCAGGGCUUCCUUCAAUUUCUAGGCAGUGAGCAGCCGCUGGACGUGGCGGUGUGCUCUCGGUGUUAGGUGGGCGCCUCCAGUUAUUAUUGGCUGAUCCCAACGGGCAAUACCGGGCAAUAUGUCCUGUGUUGCCGCAGCGAUGGCACGUUACUUUGUAAGAUUCCCGGGGAUGGUUGUUAUGCCCCUGGGGACGUGGAGGCCCUGGGGGUACUGGGGCCCGAAAUUCUGUGCGUGCAGGGUAGGUUGUAGUGCGGGCCUCUGCUCUAGGGGCUGGUCGUGUGUUACUUUGGCUCACCUUCCUUGUCUCUGCAUACUCAUCUGCUAGUCGCGCUGCCUCAGUUAAAUUGGCAGGGCGCCGAUCUCUGACCCAGUCCUGUAUAUCUGCAGCCAGAUCUUGAAAGAAGUGUUCCAUCAGGAACAACUGUAAUAUUUCUUCUCCGGUGUUAGCAUUGCACCCUCGCACCCAGUGUGUUGCCACCCGUUGUAUCUUGUUUGCCCAUUCCAUGUGGGAGUCCACUGCCUUCUUUUUGGACUCCCGGAAGCGACGGCGAUAUGCUUCUGGGGUGACCGCAUAUCGGGUGAGUAGUGCAGCUUUCACCCGUUGAUACUGCGUUAUAUCUUCCGUAGUAAGUGCCCGAAAAGCCUCAUUUGCUUUUCCUGAGAGCUUUCCAGCCAGAAUAGUAACCCAUUGGUCUGGUGGUACUUGGUGUAGCGAGCAUUGUCUCUCAAAGUCCGCUAAAUAUCCGUCAAUUUCUUCUUCAUUCUCUACAAACGCUUUAAAUGCAGUGAACGGUAUUUUCCUCCCUGUAGCAGCGGGUGGGGGGGUAGGAACUGCCUGUGUAAUGGGCUGUCUAGCUCUUACCAGUUCCGCUUCUUGUCCCCUCUUAGUUUGUAUCUCCUCCCUUGUUUCCCGGAGCAGCUGGUUUAUUAGCUCCGUGGAUCUUUCUGGAUACCAAGCUAAUCUCCGCUGUACAAUGGCAGAAAUUUCAUCGUCCUCGCUGACAGGUGCAAGAGGUUCUGUUACCUCCAUGGACCUAUCCAUUUCGUCCAGUUCUAGUAGGUCAGCUAUCAGCUCCCUCCGUGGUCUGUUGCUGGCACUCCUACCACGACUCUCCAAUAAAUCCUUUAAUGUGGGUCUUUUCAGCUUGGCGUACUGAGCCUCCAUUCAGCACUUGUUCUCUGGAUAAAAGGACCAUCCCACCGCUGCCACCAAUGUAACGGCUACCCGGGUAGAAGGAGGGUAUCUGCCGUUGGAGACGUCCUUUUUCCCUGUAAGCUGCUGUGGAGAAGUAAGCUGGUAUAAUCCUAUCCACGAUAUAUCAGAGUAAGAGUCAGGUUCAGCUGUAACAGGAGCAGGAUAAUAUUCCCAAAUAAUCCCCUUCCAAGAACGAGACAAGGCUACGUUUUGAAGGGUCAAGAAGAUCUGAGGACUGGAACACCCAGCCUCCUUUUAUUGGGAUCAGGUACACACAGGAUACUCCCAGGGGGAGGAUAAAAACACCCAAUCAUAUACCUGGUAACACCCCCACGUCUCCUCCCCUCAGAUAACAUAUAACAUAAUUAAAACGUACAACAUUUUACCCCAGUUCUGGAUGUUCCCCAAAAACAGGGGGUACAGCUUUAAAUCCGGGGUCGCUUGAUAGCUCUCAUUCAGGGGACCAACAUGUCCAAAAAUCAGCCCAUUCGGAUGAAUAGUUCGGGAGAUACAGAGUUCCAAAGUUUUGACCGACCGCACAGACCAACUAGCCGAAAAUAGUUCCAUGAGUUUUGGCCUUGCGGUCGGUCUCCGUUCGCCUGGUAAAAAGGUCUGAAAUUCUUGCCAUCCAUUCGAAUCUCGGGGUUCGCCGCAAUCCCCAUAGAUGAUUGAACAUAACUACCGAACGUCCGGUGAUUCGGUAGUUUCCGUGCGAACUUCUGGAAGUAUGGAGGACUCAGCGGUGUUCGCCUGUUUGCGUAUCCGAUUUUAGUUCCACGCGUCGACAGGCAAACACCGCUGUUCGCACGUAAGAUGGCCGCGGCCACGUGUAAAGUCCCGAAAUGGCGGCCACCUAUACUUUACACAGGGAAUUCAUGCGAAUCCAUUCGAAUGGUUGAAAUGCACUAAAUGUGACGAAUUCCUGCUGAUUUUGGUUAGUUCACUGGCCCAGGCAUACAGCAUAGUUCUGUUACACAAGGUAAGGUAGACCAAGAAAGAUUUCAGCCACAGCCAUGGUUAUGUCAGGAUUACAAGUUGAUCCAGCACACAGUACUGUGUCACACCUAGGACUAAGGAUAACGUAUAACCAGACCUUAGAAUUGCCGGACUUAAAGUCUCCAAGAAUAGUCAAAAUACUUGCCGAGGUCAAGGACACAGAAUCAGACACAAAGAUGAGGGAAAGCCAAACGUCAAGGAUGCCAGAUAUCAGGGAAGUCAAAACAAAGCCAAAGUCAAAUACGAGAAAAUCAAGAUCAGGAACGCAUUCUCUGAUAACCAUAGUAAUGAAACAACGACAGGGCACUGUCCUAUGGAUCCGAUUGGCUGUAACCGGCCUUUGACCUCAAAGGCAAUUACCAGGUUUCCAUUUGCAUGAUUGCUGCUCAGCACAAACCCUCCUGUGGAUUUGAUUGCUGCUCGGCACAACUUUUCCUGUCAGGACAGUAAUGUUGCUCGGCACAACUUUUCCUGCCAGGACAGUAAUGUUGCUUGGUACAAUUUUUCCUGUCAGGACAGUAAAUGCCAUUAACCACAUUUUUAUGUGUGGAUGAAUACGUGACAGGUUGUCCACAGAAAUCUUUCGGGGGGGUGCAUAUAAUUGUAAUGACUACCAUGCCCCUUUUUGUAGAGCCGGACUGGGGCUACAAAUCAGCCCUGGAUAAAAUGUAUGCCAGCCUCAUAAGUUAUUGUGCCAUGUAGCAUGUGUGUGUGUGUGUGUGUAUAAAUAUAUAAACUAUUGGUUCUGUCAGUGUAAAAAAUGUAAUUAUACAGUUAGCAUACUCACAUGCAGAUAGACAAUCUCACUGACACAAGCAGACAAGAUCUUUAAUACACAGGUUCACAGACAGACAAUCUUAUUGAUACAUAUAAGCUCAUUGACAUAAAAACAAAAGCUCACUGAUACACACUAAUAGGCUCACUGACAGACAUUUUCACUGACACACACAGACAAGCUUGCUAGUACACACAGAGAAACCUAAUACAAACUCUGACAAUCACACAAGAUUACUACAGACAAACUCAACGGUAUGCAAACACAAACUUAUUACAGAUAAGCUUACUGUCACAAACACACAUAUGCUUACUACAGACAAGCUCACUGACACACACAUGGUCACUACAAACUCACUGACACUCACACAUGCUAACUACAGAAACACUCACUGACAUACAUGCUCUACUGCACACCUUGGAAAUGCACAGAAUUGGCAGUAGGUAGCCCAAAAAAAGAGUUGUUUGAAUGUUUGAAGCAGAAACACUGCGCAUACUCCCUCCCCCACCAUGACCACUUCAAAUCACUGAAGUGGUCAUGAUGGUUGGAGUAACCCUUUAAGCUAAUUAUCGGACAAAAUCAAUGUGUACUCAAGUAAAUCUGUUACUUACCAGUUACAGCUUGUUUUCUCUGAUCUGCUUGCCUAUGUGCAAUCAAGUAAAUCUGUAAAAGCAAUGUGUAAUCAAGUAAAUCUAUUACUUACCAGUCACAACUUGUUUACCCUGCUCUUCUGAUCCAACGUUCACUGACAUACAAUUGUACUUUGCUUAAUGGCUUUUUCCUGUGGACCCAUAUUACUUCUGUUAUAUACAUGUGACAAGCAGCCAGAAUAACCUAUCUUACAGGAACACUACAGCGUUAGGAAUGCAAAAUUGAUUUACUUACCUUUUCUCCCUUGCCAUGGUGCUUUCUCCAGCCAUCCCUGCCUUUUACGCUGAGAUCAUCAAUCGCGCAAGAACCCCUGUGACAUCAAGACAGCUUCCCCGGCUCUAGGUGUCCAGUAAGUAAAAAUAUUUUUACAGGUUUUAUGCAGUGGGGAAGACCGAAGAGUAAUGCCCUCAAUGAAAAAAAUCUUUUAGGUUACAUAAGGGUUUGGAGUAAUCUUUUAACUUUAGGCGAUCAUGUCACUCACUUUACAUUCGAUUGUACAUCCAGUAGGCAAUUGCUGUUUUCAAAUCUUUUUCAUGCUGCAUAGAGUUGAGCGGACACCUGGAUGUUCAGGUCGAAUUUUUGAAAAAAGUCCGGGUUUGGGAUCGAACUUGACCCUGAACCCGAACUCCAUUCAAGUCAAUGGGGGCCCGAACUUUUGGGCACAAAAAUGCCUCUAAAAAAGUCCUGGAAAGGGCUAGAGGGCUGCAAAAGGAAGUAAAAUGGGGGUAAGAGUAGGACAAGUGCCCUGCAAACAAAUGUGGAUAGGGAAAUCACUUAAAAAACAUAAAAUACAUAAAAAUACAGCUGAGCCAUAAAAUAGCACUAGAUGGAAUAUUUGAUUUUAGCUUUGGAAGAACAUAAAUCAAAAUCUAAGCCAUGGCUGUCAGGAACCAGAAUUAUCCAUUUGAGAGAAGGCUGGAGUACAGGGUAUUCUCUUUCAUUGUUCAAACUGAGCUCAACUGCUGAUGCAUGGAGAAAAGCCCUUCACAAGCCUCUGCUAUUGUGUACAUAGUUUAUACUAAGUGACCCAUAGGUUGAGGAGGCAUUGACCGUGGCGUUGUAGGUGGAAGUGGGGGUGGAGGAGGUAGCCAACACUGUUUUUUAUUUGUUUGGGGUUUUUUUGGGGGGGGGGUUAAUUGGGGUAGCCCCCAAAAUAUUGGGACAUAUAAAAAAAAAGAAACAUUUGCGGCCUGCGGUGCAUUUCCUGCAGUCCAAUAACGCCAUCAGGUUUCUAAAACUGUCCGUCUCCACCAGACGAAAUGACAGUAUUUCAAAGGCCACAAAUUUUGAAAUGCUGGCAUUCAGAGGCAGGGAUCACAGGUUGCUAGGGGGACACUUCCUCUUUCUUUCCAGUGUUUGGGAGAUGGACAGCUGAACGCUUCCAUGGGACAGUGUGGAGGUGCUGGACAAUUGUGUACCUGGCCUAUACUGAUAACCGUGGAAAUGACCCCCUCUUCCUCCUCCUCUUCCUCCUGUGCCACAUCCUCUUCCAUCAUCGCCCAAAGCGUUUUUUCAAGGAGAUAUAGAAGCGGGAUAGUAAGGCUGAGAAUGGCGUCAUCGGCACUGGCCAUGUUGGUGGAGUACUCAAAACAGCGCAACAUGGCACACAGGUCUCACAUGGAGGCCCACUUAUUGGUGGUGAAGUGGUUCUGUUCCGCAGAGCGAAUGACCCAUGCAUGCUGCAGCUGAAACUCCACUAUCGCCUGCUGCUGCUCGCACAGUCUCUCCAGCAUGUGCACAGUGGAGUUCCACCUUGUGGGCACGUCGCAUAUGAGGCGGUGAACGGGAAGGCCAAAAUUAUGCUGCAGCGCAGACAGACGAGCAGCAGCAGGGUGAGAACGCCAAAAGCGCACACAGCCGCUAAAGUGAAUGUCACAUCCUGUUCCAAGUUGCGGAUCAGUCUGGUGAUGGCUUCUGGUAUCCAGUACUCUUUUUACUGAAGCUGCAUCAGGGUCCUGGUAUGUGGCUGCACAAACGCUGGUGCUCAACACCAGUUACCCUGCACCAGACCCACCAGACCCUGCUAAUCCAUUCCACACUGUGACUCCUAACUUCAACAUCAGGCAUACUAGGUCCAGGUUGUCCAACUGCCUCCCAGACAGUGUCUGGGUCCCGGUCACCGGACUGCGAAACUGCGAAUGGCUCAUUAAAUCUGUUAUGCUUCCUUUUAUCACUCAAUCUGUUACUUGGAUAACUGUGGGAAUUCUAAAGAUAAUACACGCCAACGAGCGCUAGGGGACGGACGCUCCGCUUUUGCACCCUGCUCCCUCUUAUUCUGUACUGGUGCCUCUGUGCGACCAGCGCCUCUUCCUCCAAACUGCACACUUCACUCGCAUGACCUUGAUUCCAUGUGGGGUCUAGGACCUCAUCAUCCUCCACAUCAUCUUCCACCCCCUCUCUGCACAGAUAUGAAGUGCAGGCAACAAAUUUACUUUUUAGCACCUAAAGAAUUUGAAUUUUUACAACUGCAAUGUAAGCACAAUAUUUGACGGUUCUAUUUGACUCUCAGAUAUGAAGUGCACCGCAGGCCGCAUUUACUAUUUAGCAGCCAAAAAAUUUGAAUGUUUAAAACUGCUAUGUCACAGCAAUAUUUGACAGUUCUAUUUGACUCUCAGAUAUGAAGUGCAGGGCCCAAAUUUACUAUUUAGCAGUUUAGCACCAAAACAAUUAGAAUUUUUACAACUGCGCUGUAACCGCAGUAUUUGACGCUUCUAUUUGUGUCUCAGAUAUGAAGAGCACGCCCCAAAUGUACUUCUUAGGAGCAAAAAAAUGGGAAUUUGUCAAAGUGCGCUGUAAACACAGUAUUUGACGCUUCUAUUUGACUCUCAGAUAUGAAGUGCAGGGCACAAAUUUACUAUAUAGCAGAUUAGCACCCAGAAAAUAAGAAUGUUUACUAUUGUGCUGUAACCACAGUAUUUGACGCUUCUAUUUGACUCUCAGAUAUGAAGAGCACGCCCCAAAUUUACUAUUUAGCAGUUUAGCACCAAAACAAUUCGAAUUUUUACAAUUGCGCUGUAACCGCAGUAUUUGACGCUUCUAUUUGACUCUCAGAUAUGAAGAGCACGCCCCAAAUUUACUAUUUAGCAGUUUAGCACCAAAACAAUUAGAAUUUUUACAACUGCGCUGUAACUGCAGUAUUUGACGCUUCUAUUUGACUCUCAGAUAUGAAGAGUACGCCCCAAAUUUACUAUUUAGCAGAUUAGCACCAAAACAAUUAGAAUUUUUACAACUGCACUGUAACCGCAGUAUUUGACGCUUCUAUUUGACUCUCAGAUAGGAAGUGCAGGCCCCAAAUUUACUAUUUAGCAGUAGUGAUGUCCCGAACGGUUCGCUGAACGGUUCGCCGAAUGGUUUGCGAACGGUUCGCCACGAACGGUUCGCCACGGACUCAUCAUUGGGUAAACUUUGACCUUGUACCUCACAGUCAGCAGACACAUUCCAGCCAAUCAGCAGCAGACCCUCCUUCCCAGACCCUCCCACCUCCUGGACAGCUCACUAAGAAUGCAGCUUCAAAAUGGAUGCUGUCCAGGAGGUGGGAGGGUCUGAGAGGGUCUGCUGCUGAUUGGCUGGAAUGUGUCUGCUGACUGUGAGGUACAGGGUCAAAGUUUACUCAAUGAUGAGUCCGUGGCGAACCAUUCAUGGCGAGCCGUUCAGGACAUCACUAUUUAGCAGAUUAGCACCCAGAAAAUAAGAAUGUUUACAAUUGCGCUGUGACCGCAGUAUUUGACGCUUCUGUUUGACUCUUCGAUAUGAAGAGCACACCCCAAAUUUACUAUUUAGCAGUUUAGCACCAAAACAAUUAGAAGUUUUUAUAACUGCGCUGUAACCACAGUAUUUGACGUUUCUAUUUGACUCUCAGAUAUGAAGAGCACGCCCCAAAUUUACUAUUUAGCAGUUUACCACCAAAGCAAUUCAAAUUUUUACAACUGCGCUGUAACCGCAGUAUUUGACGCUUCUAUUUUUCUCUCAGAUAUGAAGAGCACGUCCCAAAUGUACUUCUUAGGAGCAAAAAAAUGGGAAUUUUUCAAAGUGCGCUGUAAACACAGUAUUUGACGCUUCUAUUUGAUUCUCAGAUAUGAAGAGCACGCCCCAAAUUUACUAUUUAGCAGUUUAGCACCAAAACAAUUAGAAUUUUUACAACUGCGCUGUAACCGCAGUAUUUGACACUUCUAUUUGACUUUCAGAUAUGAAGAGCACACCCCAAAUUUACUAUUUAGAAGAUUAGCACCCAGAAAAUAAGAAUGUUUACAAUUGCGCUGGAACCACACUAUUUGACGCUUCUAUUUGACUCUCAGAUAUGAAGUGUAGGGCCCAAAUUCACUAUUUAGCAGAUUAGCACCCAGAAAAUAAGAAUGUUUACAACUGUGCUGUAAUUGCAGUAUUUGACGCUUCUAUUUGACUCUCAGAUAUGAAGAGUACGCCCCAAAUUUACUAUUUAGCAGUUUAGCACCAAAACAAUUAGAAUUUUUACAAUUGCGCUGUAACCGCAGUAUUUGACGCUUCUAUUUAACUCUCAGAUAUGAAGUGCAUCCCACUAAUGUACUUUUUAGCACCCAAAAAAUUUUAAGUUUUAAAACUGCAAUGUGACAGCAGUAUUUGACGGUUCUAUUUGACUCUCAGAUAUGAAGUGCACCCCACUAAUGUACUAGUUUGCAGAAUUCUUUCCUAAUCUGAAAGCGGUAGCAUCCUCUCCCUACACUAAUAAAAGCUCAUGUGAGGUGCGGUGCUACGUGACUCCAGCUUAUAUAUAGAGGCUGGGUCACAUGCUGCACUGGCCAAUCACAGCCAUGCCAUUAGUAGGCAUGGCUGUGAUGGCUUCUAAGCUGUGAUACGCUUGUAUAUUGACUGCCCUGCAGCCUUUCAAAACACGCCAUUAAAUCGCCGAACACCGAACUCCAACCCGAACAUACAGUGAUAUGUCCGUGUUCUGGUCCAGAGUCCAAAAAACGUUAGGGACACAGAAAGAGACACAACGAUAAGGAAAAGCCAGGAAUCAGGGAUGCCAGAAAACAGGGAAGUCAAAAUCAAAGCCAAAAUAACAGAAUAACCAGAAUCAAUAAUGCGCUCUCGGACAACCACAAGGGAAACCACGACAGGUCACUGAGCAAGAGGAGAACUGGGCCUAAAUAUCAGACAUCAGAACUCUAAAGCCUGUGGAUCUGAUUGGUUGUAACCGGCCUUUGACCCCAAAGGCAGUUACCAGGUUCCUAUUUGCAUGAUUGCUGCUCAGCACAAACCCUCCUGUGGAUUGAUUGCUGCUCAGCACAACUUUUCCUGUCAGGACAGUAAAUGCCAUUAAUCACAUUUUUAUAUGCGGAUGAAUACGUGACACAAACACAGAGAAACUGAAUAACGUGUAGAGAAUGUAGGAUACAACAAACAAAUGUUAUGAUGAAACUAAUAUGAAGCAUUACCAUACAUAGUUUUUUUAUGAAGAUAUAUUUCCAUAAUGUCAGGGGUGUGAACGCCCCAUUUAAAAGGUAUUCUCUGAUGAAAGAACCUAAAUCAAUGCAUGUGCAUAUCAUUUGUUUACAGGAAACUCAUUUAAAGAAAAAUAAUGCUACUCCCUGAAUCCUUCAGCAUAGCAAUACCAAUUCAAUGCCACUGCCCCUAAAAGGAGUAAAGAAGUCUCUCAUCCUGUAAGUAAACACCUGGCCUUUGAGCCUAUCACUCAAAUACUGAAUCCAAUAUUUUGAUCUUCUCUUUUAAAAAAAUUAUUAAUGAACCAAACCUGAACACGCUUAUAAUAUAAAAUAAUGAGGAACAAAUACACAGAUGGAAUCAAAUGCUAUGAAUAUACCUGAAUGGGUUAGAGGGCUGUUUUGGGGAACCAUAAAUGGGGGGCUCAAGGUAAGUGUGCAUUUAAGGAUUUUUAUUUUUUUAAAGGACUGCAGAUGGGGAGAGUUAAAUGUGGCAUUGGACAACAUUGCAUAACGAAGGAGCAGUCCUAGAGAUGUCCUGUAAAUGUAUCAGUACAAGUAUGAGAAUGGGACAGUAACAGGUCAUUAUCGGAGAUGAGAAGCCGACUGGAACAUAUCUGCUAAUGAGCAAGAUAUAUCAAGAGCUAUGUAAGUAAGCAUGAGAACUUUGAAUCCCAAAUUAAACAGGAAGCCAGCUUAGAAAUUGACAGGGGGUGAGUACUGAAUGUUUUGGGUUGUUAGGUAGAUGGAUCAGGCAGAGAUGUUCCUUCAUGGCUGAAGAGGAGUAAUCUGAAUUUUUUGUAGGCUAAUAAGCAGAGGGUUACAGUAAUCAAGACAGGAGACAUUGAGAGCUCUUAAAAGGCUCUUCACUUAAGCAAAAAUAGCUGGGAAGUAAAACUGCUCUAUAAAGCUUUUUAAAUUCACUAUGAACUCUGCCUUCAACUUUAGUAAAUAACUCUGUAAAAAAAAAAAUAAGUAUUUCUAGAAAAGGAUAUUCCUAACUUGUCGCGGAUUGUUUUCAAAAGAAGUGUAGUGACACAACAGCUGGUCAUCUCUGAGGGAUCACCACCCUAAUCACCCUCAGACAGGUGCAAAAUAAAUAUUUAAAGUCUUUUUAAAGUUUCAUAUGGGCCUUUAAUACAGCCACCAGGAUAUGACCUGGUAACAUGUUGGUUCUUUGUCAAACCCAGUUACAACGUACUAUAUAUCCACAAAAUCGAGGGAAAUCAUACAUGUUACAGUUUUAUGACAUUGUUAAUGGGACACUGUAGGCACCCAGACCACUUUAGCUCAUUGAAGUGGUCUGGGUGCAAUGUCCCAUGUCCCUUAACGCUACAGUGGUAAUUAUUGCAGUUUCUUAGAAACUGCAGUAAUUACCUCUGAGGGUUAACUCCAUCUCUUAGAGGUACUUCCUGAAUUAAAACGGACCUGUGGUUAUCUGAUGUUGGGCGAUCUGUAUGAGGACUUCCUGUAGUCAGAUUUUUCCCCAUAGGAGAGCAUUUAAUAUUGCUUUCCUAUGGAGGAAAUCCUAAUGCGAACGCGGUUAUUGCCGUGCAUGUGCAUAAGGUCUUCCCCAUUGGCAGGGGAGGAGCAUGGGCGGAGCCUGACCCAGCACCAAAGGGCAUCGGCGCUGGAUUCAGGUAAUUGACUGAAGGGGUUUUCAGCACCGUGGGAGGGUGGGCGAAUAGGAAGGGAGCACUGUGGGAUUCUAUAGUGCCAGGAAAACAGCUUUGUUUUCCUGGCACCAUAGAAUUCCUUUAAGAUGUCUGGUGAGAAUCCUAGCUUAAGGAGUUAAACCAUUUAUGAAAAAUUCAGUUCUGAACAUAGCAGGUGUUCACUCUGCCCCUAGAUUUCAGGCGAUGGUUCACAGCUUCAAUGAGGAAGCUUAGACUGGGCACUGCUGGUGGAUUCAGCUGACUGAAAUUUUCCAAUAUGGCUAUUUUGUCAUUCACUUUGAAUUACUGCCAAUUUUCACUUUAGUAACCUAGUACCCUAAAAAUCUUUCAAAACCCUAGUACUGGUGGCAUGAUCACAAAAUAAACAAAUCUUUUGUUAGCAAUUGUUAUUCCGGCACUAUUGCUUCCCUUUGCCCACCCCCCUUCUGCCUACCCCUUUAAAUAAUGAUUACUCACCUUGUUUCUAGUGGCAGGACUCCUCCACCUAAGCUUCUUUCUCCUCAUCCAGAGAGUCAACAUCAAAGCUGACAUCACCCAUGAUCUCCUCGAAAGUAUUGCUUCUCAUAGAGAAGGACAUGAUGACCUACUCUACAGGACAUCAGAACUCUAAAGUUUUGGAGGGCUGCAGCCUACUACCUAACAUGACUGUACCUCCAGGUCCUACUGUGACAUAUGCCUACCCACAGUCACCCACCCUUGUGGACCCGCUUUUUCAGGCAUUCAACCAUCUAUGCGCACAAUUAUAGGUGAACCUCAACAAUCAGGGGCUUACCGCCAGGUUCGGUGCAAGGAUUUUUGCCGCCCUAGGCAAAAGAAAAAUGUGCUCCCCCAUCUGACAUCACAAUGCUCCACCCAUACGAUCUGCCAUAUGAACUAAAGCCAGUGCUGCACAUAGUGUGUGUUUACAUUAAAAAGCCUGCAGAGACAGGCUAUAGACACCAGCACCACUACAGUAAGCUGCAGUGGUUCUGGGGACUAUAAUGUCCCUUCAUUGUGAGGUAAAUUAGAGAUUAGUGCCACGAAUAAUAUACUAAAUUGCCUACUUACUACCAAAUGAGAAUGAUGAUGGGCUCUGGCUGCAGUCUGGCUCCAGUGGUCUGGUGUAGAACAGGCUCUCUGGCGGCUGUUUGUAACUGUGGUCACAAAAGUCAAUGUUCUGGGGGAACGUGACACAGCUCCAUUUUUUUGGACCCCUUGCACAGCUCAAGGUCUGGUCCCCCAGGGCCUGACGGUGAGUAUGUCCAUAAGGCCCACCAAUAAGUCCAACUACAUGUUCCAUCCAUGAGUUCGCUCAUAGGGAGUGGAGUGUGUAGUGAAUGUGUUAUGUGUUAGUGUAGAGAAUCUAAAGUGUGUGCUUAUGGAAUGUAGUGUAUAGGGAUACCAGUUUCUCUAGGUGAUGCAGUGUGUGUGGGUGUGUAGUGGAUGCAGUGUGUUUUUGUAUAAGGGAUAGGAAGUAGUGUGUGAUUGUGUGUAAGGGAUGUAUUGUGUGUUUGUGGUUGUGUUUAAGGGAUGCAUUGUGUGAAUCUGUGUUUGUAUGUGUAAGGGAUGCAAGGUGUGUUUCUGUGUAUGUAAGGGAUGCAGUUUAUGUGUCUGUAAGGGGUGCAUUGAGUGUGUGUGUAAGAGAUGCAUUGUGUUUCUGUGUGUGUGUAAGAGAAGCAGUGUGUGUUUGUGUGUGUGUGUGUGUGUGUGUGUGUGUGUAAGGGAUGCAUUGUGUGUUUCUGUGUAUGUGUGCAAGGGAUGCAUUGUCUGUGUGUAAUGGAUGCAUUGUAUGUUUCUUUGUGUGUAAGGGAACGAUUGUGUGUUUCUGUGUUUUUGUAGGGAUGCAUUGUGUGUUUCUGUGUAUGUAUAGAGAGGCAUUGUGUGUGUAGUGUGAAAGAGAGAGUUUGAGGGGUAGGAUAGGGGCUGAGUCCUACCAGCCACUUUGUGCUUCUCUUUCCCCCCUUCCUCAGCCUCUCUCCCCUCUUGUCCCUUACUGCUCUCCCCUCCCGUCCCUUAGAGAUCUCCAUAGAGUGCUCAGGCGGCUGCAGCAUGAGGGGCCGGCCCUGCUUACUGCUACUCUCGUCAACCAAGUUGUGGUAUCCCGGAUCCUUUAGACGCAGCAGAACCGGGUUUCUCUUGCGCAUCCCCCACGCGGCAUCACAGAGGAGGAGACGCAAGCAGCUGGCGCCCAGGCGCCAAUGAUAUGGCAUCUCAAUCCCUGCAGCGCCCCUAGAUAGGUAGUCACAGCAGCAAUAAGCGAUGACCUAAUCCUGGUGUCUUAUGGUGUCCCGUGGGAGCAGUAAUUCGUCACGGAGAGCCUUUGAGUCCUGGGAGGGACAAGGUCGGCCCUUGUGUAGGUCUGGAGCUGGAGAGAUGCACAACGGAGGAAUAAAUCUGCAGAGAUGCAUGGUGACUUUCUCAGCAACACCUCUCUCUUACCACUCAGAGGGAUUGGAUGAUCCUAGCUUCAGGACUAUCGCCUGCAAUAUGUAGUCACCUGCACCUUGUUUUUCUUUUCAUGUUUUGCAACCAGUUUUGUUAAUAGUAUUUUUGUUGAACAUAUUAGAUUUUCUUACUGUGAUGCAGCAACAUAAUGUCCAGUCUUAUUACCAGUGGUCUAUUCUUUUCAGUCAUUAUAUAGCAGGUUAUACAGUAAUACUACAUGUUUACUCUACAAUUAGCCUAUAACUUGCUUUCCAAAGUUUCAUGUUUAUCUUUACCCCACAUGUAUAGCUAGUCCUUUAAAUCUCAAAUUUCUGCCUAACAGUUAGACAUGUUUGACUAGCCUGAUACCUUUGUCUACAAUAACUUAAAAAUGUGCAAGUUGAUUAAAUACCAUGAUAAUAUGUUAUUGAAGUGCUUGCUACUGUUUGUGGCAUGUCGUGCUUGAAUGUAACCUCAUACGCAGC